AGUGAACGCUGGCGGUAGGCCUAACACAUGCAAGUCGAACGGCAGCACAGUAAGAGCUUGCUCUUACGGGUGGCGAGUGGCGGACGGGUGAGGAAUACAUCGGAAUCUACUUUUUCGUGGGGGAUAACGUAGGGAAACUUACGCUAAUACCGCAUACGACCUACGGGUGGAAGCAGGGGAUCUUCGGACCUUGCGCGAUUGAAUGAGCCGAUGUCGGAUUAGCUAGUUGGCGGGGUAAAGGCCCACCAAGGCGACGAUCCGUAGCUGGUCUGAGAGGAUGAUCCGCCACACUGGAACUGAGACACGGUCCAGACUCCUACGGGAGGCAGCAGUGGGGAAUAUUGGACAAUGGGCGCAAGCCCGAUCCAGCCAUACCGCGUGGGUGAAGAAGGCCUUCGGGUUGUAAAGCCCUUUUGUUGGGAAAGAAAAGCAGCAGGUUAAUACCCCGCUGUUCUGACGGUACCCAAAGAAUAAGCACCGGCUAGCUUCGUG
This 492-nucleotide ribosomal RNA is filed under the name uncultured bacterium. Its description in RNAcentral is "partial 16S ribosomal RNA". It matches the Rfam family "Bacterial small subunit ribosomal RNA", at positions 29 to 507 of the family's 1533-position model. The record is from RNAcentral.